Molecule: ribosomal RNA, 254 nt
Filed under: uncultured bacterium
Lineage: Bacteria
Description: partial 16S ribosomal RNA
Rfam family: Bacterial small subunit ribosomal RNA
Source: RNAcentral
UGAGUAACACGUGAGUGACCUGCCUUUUAGACUGGAACAACUUACCGAAAGGUGAGCUAAUGCCGGAUGAGUUAUAUAAGUGCAUGUUUAUAUAGGAAAAGUUGGGGAGACCUGACGCUGAAAGAUGGACUCGCGUCCCAUUAGCUAGUUGGUAGGGUAAUGGCCUACCAAGGCGACGAUGGGUAGCCGGCCUGAGAGGGUGGCCGGCCACAUUGGGACUGAGACACGGCCCAAACUCCUACGGGAGGCAGCAG